GGCAGCAGUGGGGAAUAUUGGACAAUGGGCGCAAGCCUGAUCCAGCCAUGCCGCGUGUGUGAAGAAGGCCUUAUGGUUGUAAAGCACUUUAAGCGAGGAGGAGGCUACUCUAGUUAAUACCUAGAGAUAGUGGACGUUACUCGCAGAAUAAGCACCGGCUAACUCUGUGCCAGCAGCCGCG
Molecule: ribosomal RNA, 181 nt
Filed under: uncultured soil bacterium
Lineage: Bacteria
Description: partial 16S ribosomal RNA
Rfam family: Bacterial small subunit ribosomal RNA
Source: RNAcentral